GACGAACGCUGGCGGCGUGCUUAACACAUGCAAGUCGAACGGUGAAGGGACCGGUUUUUGCUGGUUCUGGAUGAGUGGCGAACGGGUGAGUAACACGUGAGUAACCUGCCCCCUUCUUCUGGAUAACCGCAUGAAAGUGUGGCUAAUACGGGAUAUUCUGCGCCUGCUGCAUGGCGGGUGUGGGAAAGAUAUUGUUUCGGUGGGGGAUGGGCUCGCGGCCUAUCAGCUUGUUGGUGGGGUGAUGGCCUACCAAGGCGGUGACGGGUAGCCGGCCUGAGAGGGUGGACGGUCACACUGGGACUGAGACACGGCCCAGACUCCUACGGGAGGCAGCAGUGGGGAAUAUUGCACAAUGGGCGCAAGCCUGAUGCAGCGACGCCGCGUGAGGGAUGGAGGCCUGCGGGUUGUAAACCUCUUUCGCCAGUGAAGCAGGCCUGUCCCUUUUGUGGGUGGGUUGACGGUAGCUGGAUAAGAAGCGCCGGCUAACUACGUG
RNAcentral lists this ribosomal RNA (493 nucleotides) under uncultured bacterium. RNAcentral describes it as "partial 16S ribosomal RNA". It matches the Rfam family "Bacterial small subunit ribosomal RNA", at positions 28 to 507 of the family's 1533-position model. The record is from RNAcentral.